RNAcentral lists this transfer-messenger RNA (363 nucleotides) under Escherichia coli. It matches the Rfam family "transfer-messenger RNA". From Rfam's summary of the family: Bacterial tmRNA, also known as 10Sa RNA or SsrA, is named for its dual tRNA and mRNA-like properties. Its role is to liberate the mRNA from a stalled ribosome. The record is from RNAcentral. Lineage: Bacteria; Pseudomonadati; Pseudomonadota; Gammaproteobacteria; Enterobacterales; Enterobacteriaceae.
GGGGCUGAUUCUGGAUUCGACGGGAUUUGCGAAACCUAAGGUGCAUGCCGAGGGGCGGUUGGCCUCGUAAAAAGCCGCAAAAAAUAGUCGCAAACGACGAAAACUACGCUUUAGCAGCUUAAUAACCUGCUUAGAGCCCUCUCUCCCUAGCCUCCGCUCUUAGGACGGGGAUCAAGAGAGGUCAAACCCAAAAGAGAUCGCGUGGAAGCCCUGCCUGGGGUUGAAGCGUUAAAACUUAAUCAGGCUAGUUUGUUAGUGGCGUGUCCGUCCGCAGCUGGCAAGCGAAUGUAAAGACUGACUAAGCAUGUAGUACCGAGGAUGUAGGAAUUUCGGACGCGGGUUCAACUCCCGCCAGCUCCACCA